GGGGGUGUAGCUCAGUGGUAGAGCGCAUGCUUAGCAUGCAUGAGGUCCUGGGUUCGAUCCCCAGCACCUCCA
RNAcentral lists this transfer RNA (72 nucleotides) under Symphalangus syndactylus (siamang). RNAcentral describes it as "tRNA-Ala (AGC) (tRNA-Ala-AGC-1-1)". It matches the Rfam family "tRNA". Rfam says of the family: Transfer RNA (tRNA) molecules are approximately 80 nucleotides in length. Their secondary structure includes four short double-helical elements and three loops (D, anti-codon, and T loops). Lineage: Eukaryota; Metazoa; Chordata; Mammalia; Primates; Hylobatidae. RNAcentral also lists the same sequence under 1 other name. The record is from RNAcentral.